AAAGGAAUAGACGGGACCCCGCACAAGCAGCGGAGCAUGUGGUUUAAUUCGACGCAACGCGAAGAACCUUACCAAGACUUGACAUCGCCUGACAGGCACAGAAAUGUGUUAUCCUAGCAAUAGGCAGGUAGACAGGUGGUGCAUGGUUGUCGUCAGCUCGUGUCGUGAGAUGUUUGGUUAAGUCCAGCAACGAGCGCAACCCCUAUCAUUAGUUGCCAAUAUUCAGUUAGGGACUCUAAUGAGACUGCCGUUGAUUAAAAAACGGAGGAAGGUGGGGAUGACGUCAAAUCAUCAUGCCCCUUACGUCUUGGGCUACACACGUGCUACAAUGGCUAUUACAAAGAGCAGCGAAAUCGCAAGGUGGAGCGAAUCUCAAAAAGAUAGUCUCAGUUCAGAUUGAGGGCUGCAACCCGCCCUCAUGAAGUCGGAGUUGCUAGUAAUCCCGAAUCAGAAUGUCGGGGUGAAUGCGUUCCCGGGGUUUGUACACACCGCCCGU
RNAcentral lists this ribosomal RNA (496 nucleotides) under uncultured bacterium. RNAcentral's name for it is "bacterial SSU rRNA". It matches the Rfam family "Bacterial small subunit ribosomal RNA", at positions 903 to 1397 of the family's 1533-position model. The record is from RNAcentral.